ACGGAAGGCAGCAGUGGGGAAUAUUGCACAAUGGGGGAAACCCUGAUGCAGCAACGCCGCGUGAGUGAUGACGGUCUUCGGAUUGUAAAGCUCUGUCUUUAGGGACGAUAAUGACGGUACCUAAGGAGGAAGCCACGGCUAACUACGUGCCAGCAGCCGCGGUAAUACGUAGGUGGCAAGCGUUGUCCGGAUUUACUGGGCGUAAAGGGAGCGUAGGUGGAUAUUUAAGUGGGAUGUGAAAUACCCGGGCUUAACCUGGGUGCUGCAUUCCAAACUGGAUAUCUAGAGUGCAGGAGAGGAAAGGAGAAUUCCUAGUGUAGCGGUGAAAUGCGUAGAGAUUAGGAAGAAUACCAGUGGCGAAGGCGCCUUACUGGACUGUAACUGACACUGAGGCUCGAAAGCGUGGGGAGCAAACAGGAUUAGAUACCCUGGUA
Molecule: ribosomal RNA, 434 nt
Filed under: uncultured Clostridium sp.
Lineage: Bacteria; Bacillati; Bacillota; Clostridia; Eubacteriales; Clostridiaceae
Description: bacterial SSU rRNA
Rfam family: Bacterial small subunit ribosomal RNA
Source: RNAcentral